CGCCUCUCGGCUUGUGAAACACGCUCCUUUUCCCUCUGUGAUGAGAUAUCAUCUCUCAGGUUUGACUUGCUGAGCUAGAUUUCUCACCUGCCUGCGAGGUAAGACCUCAGCUGUAGUUAAUCUUAUCCUUCUCUUGAGCUGAAAAUGGCUUGAAUUCCUUUUCUUUUUUCUAGUAAUGGUUGCUUUCCUUGCUUUCUCUGCAAUCUAGUGUUAGUUUUCUGCUUCUUUUUCUUUUAGUCUAUUGUUUUUUUGGAUCUGGCA
RNAcentral lists this unclassified non-coding RNA (261 nucleotides) under Hevea brasiliensis (rubber tree). Lineage: Eukaryota; Viridiplantae; Streptophyta; Magnoliopsida; Malpighiales; Euphorbiaceae. The record is from RNAcentral.